AGGGUGAGUCCUCAUAGUCCACCAUAGGAGCCCCGGAAAGUGUGGGCCCCCGUGGUGAAAAUUCACCCUGUGGUGCCGUCUCAUCUGCCGUCUCAGGCUGGAGAGGGGACCAGUCGGGGGUCGCGGAAGAGUAACGAGGGGACAUCACCGAAGAAAGCCCCCGCUCCUGUUCUUCAUCCCGAAAGUCGAUCAGGAGAGGCGAGGAGGCCGUGGGUCCCCCUGGUGAUCCCAGAGGAAGCCUCCUGCGAGAUGCAGGAAUAAGCUGGGUGGGCGGAGCCUCGCCGAGGGUGUCCUGGGCAGGCCCGCUGUCCGUGGCCCGGGGCUGUGUCACCCUCUGCUCCUUGGGUGGUUCCGGUCGACGAGGAAGGAAGAUCGGGGCAACCCGUGCUGGAGGGAUUGCUUCCCGAUCCACCUCAGGAGACCAAUCUGGAGCCACGGCGUCGGUGCUGGUAGCCACCGAGACCCGGGCGACGACCCGAGCCGGAGGGCUGCUAGCCCGUACCACCCCAGGAGCCCCGUCAGGGCCCGUAGGGUCAGUAUGGGUGCCCACCGAUACCCGGGUGGCGGUCUGGACCGGCAAGGACUGGGCCGGGCGUACCACCUCCGCGUUGACAGGGGGGUCGGCGAAGGCCGCGACGAUCAGAGCCUCGGCCUUCCCGAGGGUGUCCCCCAUCAGUCUGCGUCCCAGAUGUUUCUUGGCCCAUGUAGAGGCCAGCUGAAAAGCGGGUCUCCAAACCUCGUCAAUAAAACUGGUUAUCUUGUCCAA
Nerophis lumbriciformis (worm pipefish) is the source of this 766-nucleotide non-coding RNA. Lineage: Eukaryota; Metazoa; Chordata; Actinopteri; Syngnathiformes; Syngnathidae. The record is from RefSeq and is a predicted model, not a curated record.